Lucilia sericata (common green bottle fly) is the source of this 519-nucleotide long non-coding RNA. RefSeq lists it as uncharacterized. The record is from RefSeq and is a predicted model, not a curated record. The transcript has 3 exons. Lineage: Eukaryota; Metazoa; Arthropoda; Insecta; Diptera; Calliphoridae.
ACACAGCUCACCCACUGUAGGCAUGAGCAGAUCUAAAGCAUGUACCAAUGAAGGAUCUUCACGUGAUUGCUUCAUGUAGAAGGGUUUUUGAUUCGCCGGCCAAUCCACCACAAAUACUGGACUUUUACAGUGUUCCACCAGCCAAAGCCUCUUUAUAGCUGAGUACAGGCCAUGAUUGAUCUAGCCAAUGGAAUGUCACUGCUUCACCCAAAUUCUUUUUCUGGCAAAACUCCACAUCUUGGGCAUUAUUGUCAAGCAAUUGUUUUGUUGUUACCUUGAGCAUUCGCUCUAUAAAUGAACAGAGUUGCUGUAUGUGCUCCAGGUAGACUAGCUCAGCUUCAAACAUAUAAAAUUCGGAUAAAUGCAGGGGAGAUUUACAAUUUUCCGCUCUAAAAGCAGGACCCAAACACAUAAACAGAUUCAUGCACCACCAUAUUUCCCUUAAUAUCGCUUAAUUUCUGACAACCUGCCAAGGCCAUUGUGAUAUCAAAAUCCUUUUUAAGCACUUCCAACAUAUUU